Arachis ipaensis is the source of this 1198-nucleotide non-coding RNA. The record is from RefSeq and is a predicted model, not a curated record. Lineage: Eukaryota; Viridiplantae; Streptophyta; Magnoliopsida; Fabales; Fabaceae.
UAAUUCUAAUGCAUUUAUUUCUAGGAUUAAUUUGGCCAAAAGAUCUUAGUAUACUUAUACAAAGUAUUUCUUUUAUCGCAUUUUUUAUUUUAAUUAUUAUAGAAGUCAUUUGAUGUGUCCACACAAUGUUUUGUGCAUUUGCUUAUUUGUUAUUAUGUUCUUUACUGUGCUUUCAGAAGGAAUGUUGUUAAGCUUUCACAAGAGUCCAUUCAUGUUGUCAUGCUCGGAUUUUCCUGUGAGGUUCCAUGGUUAGGGGGUUAAUUUAGUAUUAUUAGAAGAGAAGAACAAUCAAUUGUGAUUUCGUUCUCCACUUCACUCCUCCAAGUCUCUAAUGGUCAUUGAUGCCUUGUCUCCACUAAAUCCUAAGAAGGUUCAGAUCCACAACAGAAAAUGCCUCCUGAAAUCAAGCGCUACUAAGAAGUUUAUAAAGCAUCUUGAAAGGGAAAACCAUAUACAAUUAAGGAGGUGAAGGCUUCAUAUAUUGGUCAGAUUCUAAGGAUAUCUGGUAUAGUGACACGCUACUCAGAUGUUAAACCUUCAAUGAAGGUUGCUGUAUACACAUGUGAAGAUUGUGAUUUUGAAAUUUACUAAGUAAUUUGGGAAAUCGCUGCACAAACUGCUCUAUUCCCAAUUUUUUUGUCAUUAUGAUUUUAUUUGCUAGAAUCUACUAAAUCUUGACAUGGUUUUUUCCUUCCCAUCCACAAACAGGAAGUAACAGCUCGAGUCUUCAUGUCUUUGUUUAAGUGUCCAUCCACUCGCUGUAAAAUAAAUAAUAAGGGAAACCUUAUUAUCCUUCAACUUAGAGCUUCAAAGUUUUUAAAAUUUCAAGAGGUCUGUACUCUAUUUUGUCUUAAUAAAAAUGUGAGGACUUCGUAUUUUUCUGUAUAAUUACUUGUUUACUUUAACUAACUAUCUGGAGAUAUGGUUCAACUGGAGGCAAAAAAUUCAAGAAUUAGCUGAAUAUGUUCCAAAGGGCCAUAUUCCAUGAACAAUGAAUAUUCAUUUCAGCGGAGAGCUCACAAGAAAGCAGGACGACAUGAUGUGAAGAAAAUAUUUUCCAUAGAAAUAUGAAAUGGGAUGGGUUUCAUAUAGACUUUAGUUAUUUAAAUAUAAUAUUUUGAUGUGUUUUGUAUUUUUUUCAAGAAACUUUAUCCGGUAUUACAUGUAAUGGAUAAAUUAUACUUUAUUUUGAUUUGUG